GACGAACGCUGGCGGCGUGCCUAAUACAUGCAAGUAGAACGAGUUGCGAACGGGUGAGUAACGCGUAGGUAACUGCCUCACAGUGGGGGAUAAAUCUUGGAAACGCUAGCUAAUACCGCAUACUGUGAGAUGGACCUGCGUUUGAUUAGCUAGUUGGUGCGGUAAAGGCGCACCAAGGCGACGAUACAUAGCCGACCUGAGAGGGUCUUCGGCGACACUGGGACUGAUAGACGCCGCAGACCGCUACGGGAGGCAGCAGGAGGGAGGCUUGGGCAAUGGACGGAAGUCGGACCAAGCAACGCGGCGGGAGGGAAGAAGGGUUGCGGAUCGUAAAGCUCUGUUGUUAUAGAAGCGGUAAGUAACCAGAAAGGGACGGCUAACUACGUGCCAGCCGCCGCGGUAAUAC
This 406-nucleotide ribosomal RNA is filed under the name uncultured bacterium. RNAcentral's name for it is "partial 16S ribosomal RNA". It matches the Rfam family "Bacterial small subunit ribosomal RNA", at positions 28 to 526 of the family's 1533-position model. The record is from RNAcentral.